UAUUUAUACACGGGGAAUCGAAAUUACUCAAAAUCAAGUUAAAAAGUACGCAAAAAGUAGUACUGCUGGAAGACUGCCGAAUUGGAUACUUUUCGGUUCUAGUUUUUAAAUAUAUUUUACUCAAUGUACCUCUAGUCCGACACAACUGGCUUUUGGGUAAAUUGAGACUUGACAUUUUCUUUGCUUCCCGCACAGAAAGUAUCCAAAAUCGAGAGUUGAUGAUGUACUCGAUUUUGGAUGAAAAUUUAUUUCGUAAAUAUGGCGGGCGCUCGUUGUUUUCAACUGGAUGUGUGCAUUAUUAAGAAAUUGGAACAUGAAUUGGAGGACACCCGUACCUCAGAAAACUCGUCAGAAAAGCAAAAAUUCGAGGAUCUUCAACACCUACCGAUUUUACUCUGGAGUGGAAGCAAAAAAACGGAGCGCGUAUCCCCAAUGAUGGCGUUAAUGGAAGUAACCAAGGGCCCAAUUUCAGCAUCGCAGCAUCCGAGAGAGCGUCGUCCGAAACCCAGGCAGCAUUAUAAUAAUCAAGAAGUGUUAGAUUUAUAACAUGUUUGUAUUCAUAAUGUACACCGUUUCAGCAAGAUCGAAUAAAAGUGUUUAAUUUAAGUUUUA
Molecule: long non-coding RNA, 612 nt
Organism: Aedes albopictus (Asian tiger mosquito)
Lineage: Eukaryota; Metazoa; Arthropoda; Insecta; Diptera; Culicidae
Exons: 3
Source: RefSeq, a predicted model, not a curated record